GAGUUUGAUCCUGGCUCAGAUUGAACGCUGGCGGCAUGCCUUACACAUGCAAGUCGAACGGCAGCACGGGAGCUUGCUCCUGGUGGCGAGUGGCGAACGGGUGAGUAAUGCAUCGGAACGUAUCCUGGAGUGGGGGAUAACGUAGCGAAAGUUACGCUAAUACCGCAUAUUCUGUGAGCAGGAAAGCGGGGGACCUUCGGGCCUCGCGCUCUUGGAGCGGCCGAUGUCGGAUUAGCUAGUUGGUGAGGUAAUGGCUCACCAAGGCGACGAUCCGUAACUGGUCUGAGAGGAUGAUCAGUCACACUGGAACUGAGACACGGUCCAGACUCCUACGGGAGGCAGCAGUGGGGAAUAUUGGACAAUGGGCGAAAGCCUGAUCCAGCCAUGCCGCGUGUGUGAAGAAGGUCUUCGGAUUGUAAAGCACUUUAAGUUGGGAGGAAGGGCAGUUACCUAAUACGUGAUUGUUUUGACGUUACCGACAGAAUAAGCACCGGCUAACU
RNAcentral lists this ribosomal RNA (500 nucleotides) under bacterium enrichment culture clone ALO1_GLFRUDD03FQMO7. RNAcentral describes it as "bacterial SSU rRNA". It matches the Rfam family "Bacterial small subunit ribosomal RNA", at positions 9 to 502 of the family's 1533-position model. The record is from RNAcentral.